UGAUAAUUCUUCUUAGUUCUUUGGUAGUGUUGGGCGACUGUAUCUUGAACCGGAGAUUCCUUCUUUGACCUAGAAGAGUCUUUCUGCGCUGAUCCGUCUCUGAGUUGCUCACAGGAUGUUCUGCACUCGAUCUUUACUGCAAUCUAUGCAUUGUUAUUGUCGUCCAACAGUGGGUUUAAUAUGUUUUCUGAAUAAGGCUCUGAAGCUUGUCCAUCAAAAAAGUAUUGGUGUCACUCUCUUGCACAUUGUCCUCGAAAAUUAAUGGUGGAUUCAGCUGGACCAGCCAGGAAGUUUGUUUAUUUUCUGUAGGGGUUUUCUACGAGUUAUCAACUGAAGGCAUAUGACGUACAUUCAUCUAUGUGUUCUUCAUUCUUUUCUUAAAUAAGUCAAAAGAGCCGCAAUCCGUUGAAAUCUGUGCCUUGUGCUACAAGAAGAAUGGAUAAGUGAGUGGGCUUGUAUGGAACUUGCUUGUUAAUAUUUGUAUUUUAAUGUGUUGAUAUGUCUGAGAGUUUUGGCCUCUACAGGUAUACGAUAAUCAAGGAAGUUGGUGAUGGGACUUUUGGAAGUGUUUGGCGAGCAAUAAAUAAGCAGACUGGUGAAGUUGUAAGCAGCAUGUUCAUAGUUUUUAUUGCUUUGAAACUGAAGGAAAUUGAUUCUAUAUAAGUCAGGGUUUGUUCUUUUGUUUCAACAGGUUGCUAUAAAAAAGAUGAAGAGGAAAUAUUAUUCCUGGGAAGAAUGUUUAAAUCUGAGAGAAGUCAAGGUAAAACAGUUUAUACUUCUGCUCUUAUUAUUGCUAUUUUAUUUCUGUAUAUGGUUUUAAAUUUUUUCUUUUUGCAGUCAUUGAGAAAGAUGAACCACCCAAACAUUGUGAAGCUCAGGGAAGUCUUUAGGGAAAAUGAUAUUUUGUACUUUGUGUUUGAAUACAUGGUAUGUGAUAUCCCUAUCAACUAGUAAAUUGUUUUCAUCAGUGCUUAUUAUUAAAUAUGAUAAAUGCCAUUUGUCUGUUUCAGGAAUGCAACCUUUACCAACUAAUGAAAGAUCGGUUGAAGCUUUUUUCGGAAACUGAAGUUCGAAAUUGGUGCUUUCAAGUGUUCCAAGGUCUUGCUUACAUGCACAGGCGUGGAUAUUUUCAUCGCGACCUCAAGCCAGGUGACUGCUACUUUUGUGAUUUUUGACCAAAAUCAUAGAAAUGCAUUUUUUGAGCAAGCACUACAAUUCCAAUUUAGUUGAUGAUUCAUUUAGGGAUGGAUGAUAUUUAUAAGAUAUCCAUUGAAGAUCCUCUGAUGCAUUGCCAUUAAUUUUUUUUGAUAGGCUUUAUAGUAGAGGCUCAUUUUGCCAUAAAAAUUUCAAUUCCCAUGGGUAGCCAUAUUUUGCCAUCAUCUAUUCCUGAGAAAGGGGAUGCAUCUUAGAUGAUAUUUAAAAAAGAUGCCUUUUUCUUUUAAAAUAAUUAUUAAUAUUUUUUUCCCGCUUGCUUAUUGGUGCUAUUUCUAUACUUUGUGUGUGCUUUGUUGCCCCUUUUCUGAGCGCUUUUAAAAUAAUUGCCUUUUUACCUAUCAAUAAAAAAAGGAGUCUUUUUUUCUGGGGUGGGUGGGGGGAUAAACAAUUUUUAUGUGAUAUUCUUGAGAAGAAUGAACUUUUAGGAAAUUUAGGUCUUUAUGUAUUUGAGAUAUUUCUGUUUAUUUUCCAAAAAAACAAUCUAGCAACGCUAUUUGCUUAGGUUCUGUAACUCAUAAAACAUUUGAGUAGCAUUUGGUUUUCUUCCAAUUCUUUGAUUGCCUGAACACUUGACAAUGAAAGUGAAGGGCCUCACCCAGUAUGAUGAAAGUUUUAAAGAUGACUCCAUCAUUAUUCUGCUCCUUUCUCCUUGCUCUCUGUCUUAUUAUUUUUAUUUUAAAUUUAAGUUAAAUUAUCCUAUGUUGGGUGAUGGGAUUUUCAUUUCUGAUUUUGUAUAUUGAGUCAUCUUCUAGUCUUCUCUCUCUCUCUCUCUCUCUCUCUGUAUAUAUUUGUUUUGUUGUUAUGAUUCAAAUUGUUUGGGGUUGGGUGGGUGAGUGUUAGGGGUUGUAUGCCCUGAUUUUAAUCUUGCAUUAACUUGAGCUUUAUAUAAUAGGUAUAAUUCAUAAAGUGAUAUGAAAUCUUCUUCUUCUUCGCUUCACUUGAUCAAAAAAAUGUAGAGUCGGUUAUUUAAUAAAGCGGACAGGAAAAAAUUUAUGUUUGCCUUUGCUCUUUUAAUUUUAAUGUUUACUUUGUUUUGUAUUUAUAUGUGGGUUAUAGUUUCUCAAAUAUGCAUCUUCCAUUCUGAUUAAAAAAAUGCAUCUUCCAUAAAAAUUCCUUCCUUGUAUGUUUCUUUUCAGAGAACUUGUUGGUUACAAAAGAUGUAAUAAAAAUUGCUGAUUUUGGUCUUGCUCGGGAGAUCAAUUCUCAACCACCAUACACGGAAUAUGUCUCUACACGCUGGUACGUGUUUUUGGGUUACUUGUUUGUCCCCUUUAUUAAUGUGUUGCGUCCUUCAAAUUUCAAUCUCCCUGAUAUUAUUUGGUUGUAUUUUGUUAUCACUAAAAUAUGGACAUGGCAGGUAUCGAGCUCCAGAGGUGCUGCUUCAAUCAUCCACAUAUGGUUCUGCAGUUGGUCAGUAUAUAGUUGGAAAGAGACUGAAAUUUUAUGAAGUUUGAAAAAAUAUCCAUAUUUUUGUCUGUAGACACUGAAAUUUUAUUUCCAUUUUUUCCCUCCAGAUAUGUGGGCAAUGGGUGCUAUCAUGGCUGAAUUGUUUACUCUCCGUCCUCUCUUUCCAGGAUCGAGGUAAAUGUUUUUUUCCCCUUUCCUUCUAGGUAUUGGUUUUUCCCUUUUGCUUUUACUAGUUAUGGUGUAUGUUGCACGUGGUUAAUUUUACAUAAUUGAAAAUAAAAUUAAUAUUUCAAGAGGUUGGUUUUUAAUUUCAAAAAUCAUAAUGCAAGUGAAUUUAAUAUGUAAUUCAGGAAAUCAAUGUAUAGGACUCGGUAGAAUAUGGUAUUAGUUCUUAAAACAUAUAUCUAUUAAUUAUGGUUCUUAAACAUGUAUCUACUAGAUAUAUUCACAUUUCUUGUGUACCCAAUAGGAGUUAGUUAUUAAUGUGACAUCUUAUUUUGUGCUAAUUUUGAUAAAACUAUUGAUUAAUUUGGAUAGUAGAAAGUGGUGGUUUUAUAUCAAAGGAAAAAAAAAAUAAAAAUUUGUAUUUCUUACCUAACAACCACCAGGGAUUUCUGAUAGUUUUUUUACAAUAAGAAAAAUUUAAAUUUAUUAUUUUUUCCAGCUUUUAACUAAUUUGUCUCUUUUCUAGUUUACCAAUGUAAGGUGACAAUUGAAAUUAGUUAUUGAGUUUGCUUAAAUAUGGGAGCCCCUCUAAGUGUGUGCAGGCAAAAAUUUUCUUUUCUUUUAUGUUGCAAUUCCUAAGAUUUCAUCUGCUCAUUCUCUUUUCUUGGCCGUUAUAAUGUAUUUCCUCCAUAAUGGCAUCUUGAGCAAUUAUGCCUAACAUGUAGUCAUAUAAUUAUUUAUAAGGGUUUUCUUUUAGGGAUUGGCUAAAUCAAUAAAUAUAUUUUUUUAUAGGAUCUAAAUCAAUUAAUAUUGUGAUUAAAUAGUGGAGGUGCAUUCUCAAUUUGAUAAUCUGGCAUUGCAGUAGCAAUUUAGCCCUUCCAAUAUUGAGAUGACAGGAUACCUUGAGGAGGUUUAACUUGAUUGAAAAGCAUGGCAGACAGAGGCGAGAGUAUACCGAGGGUGAUAGUACGGCAAGGAUUACAAGGAACUAUCUGGACUGUCUUUCAAGUCAUUAACCUGUUCAGACAUGUCCCAUUGGAUUAGCGGUAGAUCCUACCACUAAACCGAGACCUUGAAGCCACCUCACCUUAUGAGCAAGGGCAAUGAUUUACAACAAUUUGACCGUGGAAAAUUUGACAUAGGGUCUUAGUAAUUUCUAAAAAUUUUCAUAGAUAUAGAUAUGCAGGUUGGUUGGUAACAAUUCAAAUUAACUUGCUUAAGAAAUGCAGAAGCUGGUCCUCAGUUACAUAUUUUUGUGAGUUUGCCUCAACAGACACUGUUUCUCCUGCACUUUCUUCUUGAUGUAAAACUAAACAAAAAAAAUAGCUUGAAAAAUGGUGGACUAUGUAUCAUAUCUAGACAAUUUAUUAAUCCUUAUACACAAAUUUAAUAUUAGUAUGUUGAAAAUUUGCUUUGAUAGGCAUAUCAUAUAGAAAGAGUGUUUUAGGCAGAUAUAUAUUAUGAACCUUCUCUUGGCACUUUUUGGCGACUGUUGUAUACAUGAUGUGUACCUUGUUGCACCCUUUUUUGGCGCUUUUCAAUACAAUUGCUUCUUAUCUAUCAAAAAAAACAAAAAAAAA
This 4367-nucleotide long non-coding RNA is filed under the name Vitis vinifera (wine grape). RNAcentral describes it as "long non-coding RNA (VVIN_LNC000558)". The record is from RNAcentral. Lineage: Eukaryota; Viridiplantae; Streptophyta; Magnoliopsida; Vitales; Vitaceae.